This 460-nucleotide ribosomal RNA is filed under the name uncultured bacterium. RNAcentral describes it as "partial 16S ribosomal RNA". It matches the Rfam family "Bacterial small subunit ribosomal RNA", at positions 338 to 795 of the family's 1533-position model. The record is from RNAcentral.
CCUACGGGAGGCAGCAGUGAGGAAUAUUGGUCAAUGGGCGAGAGCCUGAACCAGCCAAGCCGCGUGAAGGAUGAAGGAUCUAUGGUUUGUAAACUUCUUUUAUAUGGGAGUAAAGUGAGUAUCGUGUUCCUUUUUGUAUGUACCAUAUGAAUAAGCAUCGGCUAACUCCGUGCCAGCAGCCGCGGUAAUACGGAGGAUGCGAGCGUUAUCCGGAUUGAUUGGGGUUAAAGGGUGCGUAGGGGGUUAAUUAAGUCAGCGGUGAAAGUUUGUGGCUCAACCAUAGAACUGCCGUUGAAACUGGUUGACUUGAGUGUGUGUGAGGUAAGUGGAAUGCGAGGUGUAGGAGUGAAAUGCAUAGAUAUCACGCAGAACACCGAUUGCGAAGGCAGCUUACUGGCCUAUAACUGACGCUGAGGCACGAAAGCGUGGGGAUCAAACAGGAUUAGAUACCCGUGUAGUC